GAUGAACGCUGGCGGCGUGCCUAAUACAUGCAAGUCGAGCGAACAGAUGAGGAGCUUGCUCCUCUGACGUUAGCGGCGGACGGGUGAGUAACACGUGGAUAACCUACCUAUAAGACUGGGAUAACUUCGGGAAACCGGAGCUAAUACCGGAUAAUAUAUUGAACCGCAUGGUUCAAUAGUGAAAGACGGUUUUGCUGUCACUUAUAGACGGAUCCGCGCCGCAUUAGCUAGUUGGUAAGGUAACGGCUUACCAAGGCGACGAUGCGUAGCCGACCUGAGAGGGUGAUCGGCCACACUGGAACUGAGACACGGUCCAGACUCCUACGGGAGGCAGCAGUAGGGAAUCUUCCGCAAUGGGCGAAAGCCUGACGGAGCAACGCCGCGUGAGUGAUGAAGGUCUUCGGAUCGUAAAACUCUGUUAUUAGGGAAGAACAAAUGUGUAAGUAACUAUGCACGUCUUGACGGUACCUAAUCAGAAAGCCACGGCUAACUACGUG
Molecule: ribosomal RNA, 497 nt
Filed under: uncultured bacterium
Lineage: Bacteria
Description: partial 16S ribosomal RNA
Rfam family: Bacterial small subunit ribosomal RNA
Source: RNAcentral